AGAGAGGGAACACAAGCAGCGGGAGUGGGAGAGGGAGAACCAGGCCGCCGAGCAGGGAGCCCGAUGCGGGGCUCGAUCCCAGACCUGAGCCGAAGGCAGAUGCCCAACGGCUGAGCCACCCAGGCGCCUUGCAACAAAGCAUUUCAAGGGAUUUUAUUUCAUCUUGAACUCCCAACCCCGAGAUCAGGAGCUGCACACUCCGCUGACUGAGCCAGCCACCUGUGAGCUUGCUUUAGGCUGAGUAUCACAACAGAGUGUCUGCAUCAAAAUUUCCUGGAAUGGUAUUAAUACUACAGCAUUUGAUCGUCGAAGGCUGAAAACUGUAUACAAAGGAAGCAAUAAGGUAAGGACGAUCUUAGUUUUGUAUUGCAUUUAUCACAGGAAUGUCUGGAAUACCUUUCAUAUGCAAUUUUCUUUCACUAGAUUCUCACAAUGAUUCCAAGAAGUUCACCCCCCUUUUUUACAGGUAAAUGGAACACUCUUUAGAUUUGUAACCCCUCACUCCACUAUUCUGG
Molecule: long non-coding RNA, 515 nt
Filed under: Zalophus californianus (California sea lion)
Lineage: Eukaryota; Metazoa; Chordata; Mammalia; Carnivora; Otariidae
Description: lncRNA (ENSZCAG00015021695.1)
Source: RNAcentral